UUUCCGUAGGUGAACCUGCGGAAGGAUCAUUAUUGUAUAACCGAGGUGCGAGGGCUGUCGCUGUCCCGAAAGGUCGUGCACGCCCGAGUGCCCUCACACACAUCCAUCUCACCCCUAUGUGCACCACCGCGUGGGCCCCCCUUUGGCUCGUUCGGAGGGGGGCUUACGUUUUCACACAAACUUUGUAUGCAGUGUAGAAUGUAUUUUUUGUUUUUGCGAUCACGCAAUCAAUACAACUUUCAACAACGGAUCUCUUGGCUCUC
Molecule: unclassified non-coding RNA, 263 nt
Filed under: plant metagenome
Description: partial contains small subunit ribosomal RNA, internal transcribed spacer 1, and 5.8S ribosomal RNA
Source: RNAcentral